Molecule: small RNA, 593 nt
Filed under: Pongo abelii (Sumatran orangutan)
Lineage: Eukaryota; Metazoa; Chordata; Mammalia; Primates; Hominidae
Description: retained intron
Source: RNAcentral
GGCUCGCGGCCGGCUCCGUGCCGCAUCGCUCGGGUGCAGCGCAGCUCAGCGCAGCGCGGCGGCCUUUCGGCAGCCGAACGGCCGCGGCAGUUCAGGACAAAGAGGUGUGGGCAGGCCACUGGGCCGGCUGGUAACAUCAUGGCAGAGAAAGUGAACAACUUCCCACCAUUGCCCAAAUUCAUCCCGCUGAAGCCAUGUUUCUACCAAGACUUCGAGGCAGAUAUUCCUCCCCAGCAUCUCAGCAUGACCAAGCGCCUCUACUACCUCUGGAUGUGUGAGUGCCGUGGGAUGGGGGUGGGCCAGGGUGGCUGGAGGAGGAAGGAAGACUGGGCAUGCUGGGCAGCGGGGUGGGGUGCCCACAGGCCUGACUGUCCUUCAGUCCCACUUGUGGCAUAUGCAUGGACCAUAAGUCUUCCCCUGCCAGGCUCCCAGAGGCUUCUUCCAUGGGCCACCUCCCCGACUGGGCCUCAGUUUCCCUCAACCUCCCCCAUCUAGGCCUCUCCUCCCUUCCUUCCCCUCCACCCUCUUUUCACAGAGCGUCUGGACGGGGGUCCCUCUCUGCAGUGUAAUCCCUGUCUUCUUGCUUCCCCUUU